Molecule: ribosomal RNA, 305 nt
Filed under: uncultured bacterium
Lineage: Bacteria
Description: bacterial SSU rRNA
Rfam family: Bacterial small subunit ribosomal RNA
Source: RNAcentral
UGCCUACGGGAGGCAGCAGUGGGGAAUAUUGCACAAUGGGGGAAACCCUGAUGCAGCAACGCCGCGUGAGUGAAGAAGUAUUUCGGUAUGUAAAGCUCUAUCAGCGGGGAAGAGAAUGACGGUACCUGACUAAGAAGCCCCGGCUAACUACGUGCCAGCAGCCGCGGUAAUACGUAGGGGGCAAGCGUUAUCCGGAAUUACUGGGUGUAAAGGGAGCGUAGACGGUAAUGCAAGUCUGGAGUGAAAGGCGGGGGCCCAACCCCCGGACUGCUCUGGAAACUGUGUAACUGGAGUGCAGGAGAGGG